GGACCAAGGAGUCUAGCAUGUGCGCGAGUCAUUGGGACUCUUACUAAACCUAAAGGCGCAAUGAAAGUGAAGGUCCGCCUAGCGCGGACCGAGGGAGGAUGGGCGAUCCCGAGGGGUCGUCCCGCACUCCCGGGGCGUCUCGUUCUCACCGCGAGAAGAGGCGCACCCAGAGCGUACACGCUGGGACCCGAAAGAUGGUGAACUAUGCCUGGUCAGGACGAAGUCAGGGGAAACCCUGAUGGAGGUCCGUAGCGAUUCUGACGUGCAAAUCGAUCGUCGGAACUGGGUAUAGGGGCGAAAGACUAAUCGAACCAUCUAGUAGCUGGUUCCCUCCGAAGUUUCCCUCAGGAUAGCUGGCGCUCGCUUCUCGCGAGUCUCAUUCGGUAAAGCGAAUGAUUAGAGGCAUUGGGGUCGAAACGGCCUCAACCUAUUCUCAAACUUUAAAUGGGUGAGAUCUCCGGCUUGCUUGAACUGUGAAGCCGCGAGAUAUCGGAUCAGAGUGCCAAGUGGGCCACUUUUGGUAAGCAGAACUGGCGCUGUGGGAUGAACCAAACGCCGAGUUAAAGCGCCUAAAUCGACGCUUAUGGGAUACCAUGAAAGGCGUUGGUAACUUAAGACAGCAGGACGGUGGCCAUGGAAGUCGGA
This 645-nucleotide ribosomal RNA is filed under the name Isonychus sp. Arg1. Its description in RNAcentral is "eukaryotic LSU rRNA". It matches the Rfam family "Eukaryotic large subunit ribosomal RNA", at positions 663 to 1265 of the family's 3401-position model. Lineage: Eukaryota; Metazoa; Arthropoda; Insecta; Coleoptera; Scarabaeidae. The record is from RNAcentral.